This 492-nucleotide ribosomal RNA is filed under the name uncultured bacterium. RNAcentral describes it as "partial 16S ribosomal RNA". It matches the Rfam family "Bacterial small subunit ribosomal RNA", at positions 29 to 507 of the family's 1533-position model. The record is from RNAcentral.
AGUGAACGCUGGCGGUAGGCCUAACACAUGCAAGUCGAACGGCAGCACAGUAAGAGCUUGCUCUUACGGGUGGCGAGUGGCGGACGGGUGAGGAAUACAUCGGAAUCUACUUUUUCGUGGGGGAUAACGUAGGGAAACUUACGCUAAUACCGCAUACGACCUACGGGUGAAAUCAGGGGAUAUUCGGACCUUGCGCGAUUGAAUGAGCCGAUGUCGGAUUAGCUAGUUGGCGGGGUAAAGGCCCACCAAGGCGACGAUCCGUAGCUGGUCUGAGAGGAUGAUCGGCCACACUGGAACUGAGACACGGUCCAGACUCCUACGGGAGGCAGCAGUGGGGAAUAUUGGGCAAUGGGCGCAAGCCUGAUCCAGCCAUGCCGCGUGGGUGAAGAAGGCCUUCGGGUUGUAAAGCCCUUUUGUUGGGAAAGAAAAGCAGCAGGUUAAUACCCCGCUGUUCUGACGGUACCCAAAGAAUAAGCACCGGCUAACUUCGUG